RNAcentral lists this ribosomal RNA (404 nucleotides) under Actinomycetes bacterium. Its description in RNAcentral is "Actinobacteria bacterium partial 16S ribosomal RNA". It matches the Rfam family "Bacterial small subunit ribosomal RNA", at positions 355 to 776 of the family's 1533-position model. The record is from RNAcentral. Lineage: Bacteria; Bacillati; Actinomycetota; Actinomycetes.
UGGGGAAUAUUGGACAAUGGGCGCAAGCCUGAUCCAGCCAUGCCGCGUGAGUGAUGAAGGCCCUAGGUUUGUAAAGCUCUUUCACCGGUGAAGAUAAUGACGGUAACCGGAGAAGAAGCCCCGGCUAACUUCGUGCCAGCAGCCGCGGUAAUACGAAGGGGGCUAGCGUUGUUCGGAUUUACUGGGCGUAAAGCGCACGUAGGCGGACUAUUAAGUCAGGGGUGAAAUCCCGGGGCUCAACCCCGGAACUGCCUUUGAUACUGGUAGUCUGGAGUUCGAGAGAGGUGAGUGGAAUUCCGACUGUAGAGGUGAAAUUCGUAGAUAUUCGGAGGAACACCAGUGGCGAAGGCGGCUCACUGGCUCGAUACUGACGCUGAGGUGCGAAAGCGUGGGGAGCAAACAGG